GACGUACACUCCCUGCACCACAUCAAAACGCAACGAAUUUCGCAGAGGCUACCACACAGCUAGUGAGACUUCAUUGGGAGUUUUGCAUUCACACAAGUGGCGAUGUACGAGUGUGGGUGUGCUUGCACCUAAGUAUUGUAAAGGCCCGUCCAAAUGAUCGAGCACUGACCGCGUGCACAAGCGAGCAGUUUGCGUUUACAAGUUUACCGCUUGUACACUAAAACACUGGCAAAGUCGCUCCUUCCUGGUGCUGCCGAGAUGAAGCCUGAUGUACGACGUGGCUGCUCCAUCCAUCCAUCCAAUCCACCCUACACCUCCAACACCCAGCCGUCACCACAGCACUGCCCCCAGGACACCACCAUCAUCAUCACCACCACCACCACCACCACUACUGAUAUAGGGUGGUAGGGAUGACACACACCACUGCUACUGCCAGGGAUGAAGCAAGACGCCGCCUUCCUGAGCUAUCAGUAGUGGUGAUGAAUGACACCAUCUUGAGGAACCCCAGAAUACCACCACCACCACUGCUGCUGCUGCUGCUGUUGUAGAGGAACCCCAGAAUACCACCACCACUGCUGCUGCUGUUGUAGAAACGAGACCUCGCUGAGCUGUGGUGGUCGUUCCUGUGUGUGUGUGUGUGUGUGUGUGUGGGGACGGCCUUCAUUCAAGAUGCUGCUGGGGUGUGGAUGAUGACACAGGCACACCACCACCACCACGACUACUGCGGGGGAUGGAAGGAGUAACCAGUCACUCGUCUCUCCCCUGCCUGCAUGGUGGGGGAAAGACCUCACAAGACUGAUGCUCCUGGCCUGUCUCUGAUAGGUGGUAAGUUGCCUGCCACACUUGCCUCAACACAAGCACAAGGGAGACAGGCUUGGUGAUGCUGCUGUGAGCUGUUAAAGAAUUCUGAGGACUCUCUCAAACGUUGUAUUGUUUUUGUUUGAAAAAAAAAUUUCACAAUAAGUUGUUGUAAUCCUCCAGAGACUCUUUGAGGUAACAGUAGCCGUGGUCUUUCUCCGGAGACUCUUUGAGGUAACAGUAGCCGUGGUUUUUCUCCGGAGACUCUUUGAGGUAACAGUAGCCGUGGUCUUUCUCCGGAGACUCUUUGAGGUAACAGUAGCCGUGGUCUUUCUCCGGAGACUCUUUGAGGUAACAGUAGCCGUGGUCUUUCUCCGGAGACUCUUUGAGGUAACAGUAGCUGUGGUCUUUCUCCGCAGACUCUUUGAGGUAACAGUAGCCGUGGUCUUUCUCCGGAGACUCUUUGAGGUAACAGUAGCCGUGGUCUUUCUCCGGAGACUCUUUGAGGUAACAGUAGCCGUGGUCUUUCUCCGGAGACUGAGGUAUCAGUGGCUGGGGUAUUCCCUGGAGACUCCUUGAGGUAUCACUGACUUAGGGCUGGCUGGUGAUAAUUCAGUCCUGGAAUACUGGGGAACUUGGAGCUGGAGGCUGCCGGGUGAAGAAUAAUAAUUGCCAGAAUACAGUAGUACAAUUAUCUGUGGAAUACAGAAGCAGGAGGCUGGGGUCAUGGUACCAGGAUGGAUAAAACUGAACAUUGCUGAAAAAUAUACACACUGGCAGCAGCAAGGGUAACCUAAAUAGUGGUGAUCCAAGUGAUACAUGUACCCUUAUUUAUACAUAGCAGGGCCAAGUUAAGCUGUUAUAAAACCCAAUUCCAAAACCCCAAAAAUUAAACAAAAAAAAAACCAUCCAAUAUUGUCUAAACCUACCCAAAGAAAAGAAUAAGAAUUAGAGAUUCUGACAGAGAUCCUGACUAACACUGCAGCCUCCCUCAUUCCCUCCCCAAACACAGGGGGCAAUACAGACCCAUAGAGGACCACAGAUCCUGCCACUGCCACCAAGCAUGACAGGUGUCCUAAAGUGACAGCCAGGAGACAGACAGGUGCACCAGGACAGCUUCAAGUCAUGGCUGUGUCCAACACGCACAAACAUUCUGAAACAAAAGGAUUCAUCAAUACACCUACACAACACAUCUACACCUUCAAGACUGUCAGGGUUAGCAUGGUACACCUGCACCAACACGUCUACACCUUCAAGAUGGUGUAGGUGUACUGUCAGGGUUAGCAUAGUUCACCUACACCAACACAUCUUCACCUUCAAGCAUUCAUCAAUACACCUACACAACACACCUUCACGACUGUCAGGAUUGUCCUAUGCAGAACCCUGACAGAGUUCUGCUGAAAGCAUCUCUCUCCCACUUAUCAUACUCAUGCUCACACAGGUUACAGUCAAAGUUGGCCUCUGCCACCACACCUGCGCCUCGCCACACCUGAUGCAAAUUGCUGCUAGCCAUUCAAGCUGCUGACCAACCUCUCAGCCUCCACUGCAGCACACACCUGUCCUGCAGGGCCCCUCAAGGAAGCUGGCUGGGGUGUUCAGUGUCAAGCAGGGCGGCGGCCUGGACUGUCUUAUGUCCAGCUCGUGGAGUAGGGAGGGACGGGUCGGCCAGGAAGCCUUCAGGAAGGGAAGAUCGAGUGGGAGGUGACCGAGGCACCAGGAGCAGCCGACAGACAGCCACCAGCGCACAGUUCAGCUCUGCCUCCACACUGCCCCUGUGCCCUGCCUGGCGUGCUGUGUCAGGCACCACAUCUGCAGGUGGAUCGUGUGCGUCAGUGAGGGGCGUGGAUGGUGGAUGUGAUCAGCGCUAGGAAAACAAAGAUAAUUUUGUGAGGAAAGUAGGGUGUCCUAAAAUGCACAUGAAUGGAGUGAUGGCAACUGAGGCAGCAGCAGCAGACACAGAGGCAGAGGUGCCACAGGCCUCACCAGAGAGGUGCUGAGACAGAGUAACCAGAAGUUGUGCCUCACAGGAGUGAGGAGGACAGUGACAUGUUGUCUUAUGUUUGGUGUGACAGGUGAGUGUGGUGCACAAAGGUUGACUCAAGUACUGAUGGCGAUGGAUGCGGUGGUGGUGGUGGUGGUGGUGGUGUGUUUUUAUUACUGAACAUUAACUGCACUGACUGGAUAUCUGAUGUGCCGCUCAAUCUGACUCUGUUCCUGCACAACAGCUGCAUCACUUACUGAAGGAAGUCACACCAAGUAUCUGUGGCCACCAGAUGAAUGCCAACAACAAUUUUCAUGCCCAGCUUGUAACAAAUGUAAAUAGUAUUAGCUGAUUAAAGUUUGAAAAUG
Scylla paramamosain (green mud crab) is the source of this 3147-nucleotide long non-coding RNA. RefSeq lists it as uncharacterized. The transcript is spliced from 2 exons. NCBI's taxonomy places the organism in Eukaryota, Metazoa, Arthropoda, Malacostraca, Decapoda, Portunidae. The record is from RefSeq and is a predicted model, not a curated record.